Molecule: small nuclear RNA, 324 nt
Filed under: Vulpes vulpes (red fox)
Lineage: Eukaryota; Metazoa; Chordata; Mammalia; Carnivora; Canidae
Description: 7SK RNA (ENSVVUG00000011424.1)
Rfam family: 7SK RNA
About the family: 7SK was discovered as an abundant small nuclear RNA in the mid-70s but a possible function has only recently been suggested. Two independent studies have found that 7SK RNA binds the CDK9/cyclin T complex (known as elongation factor P-TEFb). P-TEFb activates transcription by phosphorylating the C-terminal domain of RNA polymerase II.
Source: Rfam by way of RNAcentral
GGAUGUAAGGUGAUCUGGUUGCAACAUCUGUCACCCCAUUGAUUGCCAGCAUAUUGGCCGAUCUGGCAAAUUAGAUGAGUAUCUCCUUCUUCCCUCAUGUCUCCAUGUAUGUCCCCAGAAGCUGUACACUUGAUUAAAAAGGAAGACCUUCCUAAUAGAGGAGGACCAUUCUUUGGUCAAGGUUAUAUGAGUAGCUGUGCUACCCUGCUAGAACCUCCAAACAAGCUCUCAAGGUCCAUUUGUAAGAGAACGUAGGGUAGUCAAACUUCGAAGACUCCAGACAUAUCUAAAUGAGACACUGCAUGUGGCAGUCUGCCUUUCUUA